GUGUGCUUACUUAAGACACCAAUAAUCUAAAGCAAUUAAUUUCUGUGAAUUUCAGCUUUUCUCUAGACUUUAUUACCAAAGAUUGAGAUUGACUGCAUGCAGGCAUGUAAAGGAUGCAAUCAGUCCCUUUACCUCAAGGACACCACACAGCAACAGCUCAAAUAGUAACAGUUACACUGCAUAAAACCACAAAGCAAAACAGAGCUUUGCAUCUGAUAACUGGAACAUGACACAAGAACGUAGAAAUAAUUUUUUCUAACUCCUAAUUCCACAGAAUCUUAUUCCACAGAAACAGUUCUAUACAUGUGUUGUGGGGCAAAGCUAAUCAAAUGGCAAACGGUGAGUCUUCUUCGGCUGGAGAAUCCUUUAAACACAUGAAAAAAAAAGUGGGGGAUUUACAGUUUUCUUAGAUCAUCCAUGCCAUGGACAUAGCUGGGGAAAAAGCUGAUCCACCUUUCCACCAGAGGACCCCUCAGCUGCUGGGAGGGACAGCUGUAAGAAUUUUGCUGAGUGGUGUGGAGACUGAGGAGAGCUCCAAGGCUGAUCCAAGCCACAUUCUCUGAUGACAGAAGAAGGGACUGCGUUAAAAAAAGGCAGCAGCAUCAGUUCUGCAUCAGUGCAAGACUCUCCAAAAGAGGAUAGAUGCCCAUUAAAGGCAAUUCAGGAAUUUUCUGGAACAGGCAGGAAGAUCUGUGCCAGUCUAAAUUUGCAAAUAAAACAUCAGAGUAAAGUUAGCUUUUGGCAAGGGAAAUGCAUUCCCUACCUUAGCUGUGUAUUAAUUAACCAGGCCUUUUACUUCAGGGAAUAAAAUAUUGCCCUUUGCUGUUUACAGCACUUUCUGCUAACACACUCUCUGUUUACUAACCAAAGUUUUAAAUUGACUGCUAAUUUUGUGUUGGGUCAAAUUAAUUUUGAAACCAGAUUAAUUAAAGUAGAUGAAGCUUUGUUUAUCCAUUAUUAAUGAAGCACAUUGGAACAGGAGAGAGUACAUUAGCUUUAUUUAGGAUAUUACUUUAAUGAACUCUAUUUUUUGACUCUUAGUGCUCCUUUUGAGCAGGAGUUCAGGUUUGUGUUGUUGGGUGGUUUUAGGUUUUUUUCCUUUGGUGGUCUUAGUGCAAACAAUGGAAUUAGCUGAUUUUCUGGUUCCAGAAUCUACAGCUGACAAUCUCCAGCAGUAACUGCCUCUUGCUGUAAUUCUGCAGAGGGAGAAAAGAGCACAUGUGCAUUCUGAGCAAGGAUCUCCUGCUCAUCCUCUCCUGAUGCAGAUGGAAACUGAAGAGAGGAGAGGAUAUGUUCACUCAGCAUCAGAGCCAGAUAACCCACAGAUAGUCAGAAGAGGCUGCUGGAUAAUUAAAAUAAAACCACCUAACUGAGAGUGUUUGAGUGUCGAUGUGGAUGAUCCAGUGAAGAAUUCUGUUCCUAUUAGAGCAGUGAUUUAUAAAAGCUGAGCUGGACAUGAGGGGGUGUGAAGUAUGGGGUAGGAAGCAUUAUGGGAGCUAUUACAGUGCUCUUUGCACAAAUGGUGUAUCCCCGCUGCAAGUGGUUUGGUUCUAGUAGCUCUAUCUAAAACGAUGUAUUGAGACCUUAGGUACUACUUGUCUCAGAAACUAAUGAUGUUUCUAAGCAAUUGGAAGGCUGGAGUUCCUCAGAGUAUGCAGAAUAAAAGUAGAGCUUUGCUCAAAAUUUGCAGUAACAUCAUAUUUGUAAAUAAAAUUAGCCAAGCAAAUAUAAGUUAAACAAAGGAAAGGUUGUCUUCACAAAAUGAAUUGGACUAGAUUAAACGAAAUACCAAGAUGUCAAUUAAAGAAGAUACGAAGGUAGGUCUGUGUAGAAAGAUAAAAGGAUAGUUUGCAAAUAUGGAAGGCCAAAUAUUUAAAACUGCUAAACCUCCAAUCGUUUUCCUGCAAAACAACAAACUGAUUGACAGAUCUCAUUGCCACAGGAUGUUAAUGGGAACUGAUGAAAUUAAAGAGAGAAGUGGUUACCCAUACAACUUCAGAAAACACCUAGGUACAAUAGUGAGAACACUGUAAAGGGUCCAAAAAUAUAUUUCAAGUUGUGAAACAGCAACAAAAAAUUAGGAUGAAGCUUUCAUAGAAAUAGAAAUACAUUUUCCUUUUACAUAGCUUGGCUGAAGAUACGAUAUUGGCCACUGAAAAAACCCAAAAGAGUAUAAGAAAACACACAUAGCAAUCACUUGAUCCUCUUAACUGUGGUAUCCAAAUAUCUCAUGAUCUCCAUGUAUUUAUCCUCACAAUCCUGUUGUGAAAGUGGGAAAAUAAUUUGUGUUUUAAAAAUGAGGAACUGAGUGGAAAGAAACUAAGGCCGUGAUCCUCAGAAGUAUUUAAGCACCUAGUUACUCUGGUUUCACACAAAGCUGCACUAAUAAGGAACUGAUCUUUAUUCCCAAGCUCUAUUUCCCUUUUCACUGCUGCUCUUUUUAAGAGUAGGUGGUCCAAAUUGACUUUUAUAGCUAUAAUUUUUUGUGUCUAACAACAAGAAAAGUAUUUUUUAUUUGCUUUGGAAGAGAAGGAUGAUUGCUAAGCAAAAGCAUACCCAGCAAGGGGAAUGUGAAGUGGAUAGAGAGAGCAAGGCAAGAAACCAGAAUGAUGAUGUGAGACCUUAUGUUCCCUUUUAUUAGUGCUGUAUUUUCAGAUAGCUAAAGUGCUGUUUUAAUGUCACCACAGAAAGCACAGAAUCUGGAGAAGAGACAAGAAAGAACAAAAGACUGUAAAGUACUGAAUAGGGGGGAUAAAGCUUAGACUAAAGCUACUAGAUAGAUUCACAGCUGUUGAAGACUAAACCUCAUUUAAUGGGGCUGUAUAUCUGUUUUAGUUAUCAUUAUGGUCAAUGUCAUCCAAUAAACUUCUAUUAAGUAGAUGGGUACUGGAGGGCAUACUUCCUGUUUAUGAGCUGGUAAUUACCACAUCUUGAACUAAAUAAGUUUGGAACCGGAAGGCUGAAAUUUUUAUAGGGAAUAAAUUUCUUCAGCCUUGGCAUUUUUUAGCUCUGGAUACCAUGAAACCAAGUUAAGUGGGGAACACCACAGUUUGUGUACAAAAAUCUGAUCACUUGGCUGCUCCAGAACAGCUCUGCUCACUCUCACACUGUUUCCAGAUGCCAGCACACGAAAGAAAAGAUAGUCAAGUUAGUUUUAUUUAGGAACUGCUUUGGCUUUCCCUCUGACCAAUAAUAUUUUUCAUCUGGUAGAACUGGACUAAAGGGGAGCAGCCCUCAGGUCACCCAACUGCUCAUCUGCCAUGCCUGGGGUCAAGAAGGUGAUGGGACUGAUGGCCACUGACUGCCCAAAGAGAGACUAUUUUAAACAAGCUUUAAAACUAGAUGAAGGGAAUUUACUUUGAAACAAGUCAACGCCACUAGAAGAGUUCAGUAAAAGUACGUCAAAGCCUCAGCCUAGAAGGUCUGCAUUUCAUCUGUCUCAUGGCCCUUUUGGUCAGACUACCUUUUGUCACCUAAGACUGAAGGUGAAACCUGGGGUGAAGUGUUGGCUCCUCUGUAGUAUGGAGGAGAUUCACUACCGAUUUAAUGGAGGAGCAGUAUUGAAUGAGAGCUUCAGUGGAUUGAUGCCGCCUUUAUUCCUGCAGGGUCCCUCGUGGAGACGCUCAGGCAGUGGCACUCUGCCAGCACCUACACGUGCACACAAUCUCACCUUCGCAAGCAGUCGCGAACAGCCGCUCACACCCACAGUUUAUGCAGGAACCAGAGAUGGAGAGGCGAGAGGGGUUCUCUGCAUGCGAUUCCGAGGCGUUUAAUCACAACACACCCGAAGGGGGCAGAGGCGAGAAGAACCCAGAACUGAAAGCCCGUGCGGGUUUUAUCCCGAGAGCUCCCAAAGGAAACAGAGAGAUGUGAUGCCUGCCAGCUCAUAGCCCUAAGACAGCUUUCCCAUCGAUCUGCAUGGGAAGGGGAACCCGUUGCCCUCAGUUCAUCUGUUUGUUUUGUGAGAGCAGUGUUCCCACCACUGCUCUGUCCCUGUGCCAGCCUCUCCACGCCGCAGCCCCCGGUGCGGUGCUGGUGGACCUGCAUGAGAGCCCUCCUGGAGACGGUGGUGCUGCUGCCCUGACAGCCCAAAGUGAAGCCGAAAGUGAAGUUUCUCACUGCCAUGCAAUGAAUGAAAUAUGAAGAGAGAAAAAACCCCUCAUCCUGCUUUUGAAAAUGAAGAUAACAGGACCGAAGAAGUAGGCACAGAAGAAAAAUGUCAAAAAGGCCCACAGUGUGGCUCAGUUGGGCGCUCUGAACUUGUCUUCUCAUCAAGAUCUCUCGUCAUCUCAUCAUCAUCAAGAGCAGUCCCAUCGCCAGAUCUACAAGUCCCAGGGUGAUAUAUUUGCCUCACAGGUGCUGGAACACUGCCCUGGAUGGUCUCACCACCUUCCCACCUUCCCCCUCUGCCCUUAAACCAAGCAUUGGAAGAGAGGAUGAUGAGCUCCACAAAAAUGAAGAUAAGGGCAAAAAAUCCGAGCACACCGUCUGUCUAAUGCCUGGCACAGAGCCAGGUUGCCAUGCAUUUAGAGCAAAGGGUACACGCAAGUAUUUAUUUAUUGAUUGAGAAAUGGUGCAGUGUUUCUCCGACUCGCUAUCAGUUUCCAAAUCUGAUCUAAAUAAACUCUUCCAGUGCGUAAAUCCAGGCAAAAUGUCAUUCACCAUAUGUUUAUUACUAAAACUUGGAGCUUGUUUGCAUCAAAGUAGUUUUCACACACAGGCUGUUUGUUACAAAACCUCAGUGAGGCAGGUAUAAUUAGCACUAGCGCUUGAGGGGGAAAGCUGGGGCUGAGAGCAGAGAAAAUAAUUUCCUCGCUGCUGCAGAGGGAGUCAGCAUGGGGAUUUGGAUUAGAAACAGCCUUGCCUACCUUCCCAUUUUCUUCAUGCAGAUGGCUAGAUUUGCAUCUUUUAUUAAUUUAUAACAAUUGGACAAAUUUUACCUGGCUCAUUUCUUAAAGAUCUUAAAAUGCUUGUAAGACUAGCUUAGAAAUAUCCAAAACUAUGGGCUUCCUACCCAAAUGGCCAUUACUACCUUGCAAGAAAGAGGUGUGAUUAGUUGCUGUAUGCCAUUUUGCAUACAAUUAAUGCUUAUCAGCUGGAACACAAAACACUCUCUGAAUACAUCAUUUAUAUGUGCUUUAUAAAUGAUCCACUCUCCUAAAGCUGGCAUAACUCAUUCUGAUGAAGUCAUGCAAAGAGCCUCACAGAAAUUAGUAGCUAAAGUAAGAGCAUUUUGUAUGAAACUCCUCCAACCCUUUACAUAUCACCACUAGGAUUAUUAUCAAGUUCUCAGAGAUGCUGGAGUUUCAAAUUAAGUUUUUUAGCUCUAAGGAGGCAAAAAUAACAGAUCUUCUUCCUUUUUUUCACUUCAGUGUUUAUAUGUGAGCAAACAAAAUGAUGGGCUGAUUUUUGAUAUUUUCUUGUCUGCAAAACAGACCUAUUAAAAGAUUAAAUUCAUGUCCACAUAUCCCCCUUUAGGUAAAUUCCUAAUAAAUAUGAAUCCUAAGCCUAACUGUUUGGAGGCACUUGAACAAGUUAUAAAAUAAUAAAAUGCGAUCCUGCUGCACAUACUGUCCUUCAGCAAGUGCUCAGAGAAUUAGAGCUCCUGGUUUGUGGUUUCAAAACAGGCACCUGUGUGUUGCAGUGCCUACCUUGCAAUAGAGUUUAUGUCUUUCAGAGUUCCCAUCGUGUAUUGGCUGCUCCUGUUGAAUCCAAUGGGGUGGCUCUUUGGAUCAUGCUCAGAUGGAGGAAAGGUAUUGGAGCCCAGGAUUAAUUGGUAGCAACUGCAAGUGCAGAAGGAUGGUGCGGUUGAUGUGAAAUGUAUGAUGUACACAAUGUCACUCAGUCAGGCAUUUCCCUGGGUCUUAGUGCAGUAUCAAAGUUAAAUUAAUCUAGUUCCCAUUCCCAAGAACUGGAAGCUGGGAAGUUAUCAGUAAAUGUAAGGAAUAUUACACAUGAUGCUACUGUAAUUUGGUUAUAGAGCAUACUACUUUAAAAGCCCUUAUGUUACUAUUUCAAAAAGCAUUUUUAGUGCAUCCAAAGAGCUACUUGUGCCUUUACAGAGAGGACAUUACCUGUCUUGUUUUCAUCGUUGUGCAAAAAAGAAGAAAUAAAAGCUAGAUAAAUUAUAUUUUCAUCAA
Long non-coding RNA from Corvus hawaiiensis (hawaiian crow), 6140 nucleotides. RefSeq lists it as uncharacterized. Lineage: Eukaryota; Metazoa; Chordata; Aves; Passeriformes; Corvidae. The transcript has 4 exons. The record is from RefSeq and is a predicted model, not a curated record.